CCCGGUGUAUUUUCCAUAUAAGAAUGUCCCAUCGAUUGAGAUAACAGGUCGGCAAUAUUUAAAUCCCUCAAUCGAUUGCUUAAAAGCCCAAAACAUACGGUCAAAUACACGACACAUCGGAUUUAAUCGCUCAUUUAUCCAAUGUGGAUUAUCUUCAAUCAUGUAUACUGUUUCUGGGUUAAAAUGAUGAAGAGCAGUCAUGAAUCUACGCAAACGACUGUAUGAUUCAUCCCAAGCCCCAUAAAGCCUUGCAAUUGCCUUCUGCUUAGCUUUCUAUGUUUUCUGAUAAGA
Molecule: long non-coding RNA, 291 nt
Filed under: Manihot esculenta (cassava)
Lineage: Eukaryota; Viridiplantae; Streptophyta; Magnoliopsida; Malpighiales; Euphorbiaceae
Description: long non-coding RNA (MESC_LNC008599)
Source: RNAcentral